This 497-nucleotide ribosomal RNA is filed under the name uncultured bacterium. RNAcentral describes it as "partial 16S ribosomal RNA". It matches the Rfam family "Bacterial small subunit ribosomal RNA", at positions 28 to 507 of the family's 1533-position model. The record is from RNAcentral.
GAUGAACGCUGGCGGCGUGCCUAAUACAUGCAAGUCGAGCGAACAGACGAGGAGCUUGCUCCUCUGAUGUUAGCGGCGGACGGGUGAGUAACACGUGGAUAACCUACCUAUAAGACUGGGAUAACUUCGGGAAACCGGAGCUAAUACCGGAUAAUAUUUUGAACCGCAUGGUUCAAAAGUGAAAGACGGUCUUGCUGUCACUUAUAGAUGGAUCCGCGCUGCAUUAGCUAGUUGGUAAGGUAACGGCUUACCAAGGCAACGAUGCAUAGCCGACCUGAGAGGGUGAUCGGCCACACUGGAACUGAGACACGGUCCAGACUCCUACGGGAGGCAGCAGUAGGGAAUCUUCCGCAAUGGGCGAAAGCCUGACGGAGCAACGCCGCGUGAGUGAUGAAGGUCUUCGGAUCGUAAAACUCUGUUAUUAGGGAAGAACAAAUGUGUAAGUAACUAUGCACAUCUUGACGGUACCUAAUCAGAAAGCCACGGCUAACUACGUG